RNAcentral lists this ribosomal RNA (1572 nucleotides) under Triticum aestivum (bread wheat). Its description in RNAcentral is "partial small subunit ribosomal RNA". The record is from RNAcentral. Lineage: Eukaryota; Viridiplantae; Streptophyta; Magnoliopsida; Poales; Poaceae.
AUGGCGCGCGGCGGCGGCAACGGCGAGGUGGAGCUCUCGGUGGGGGUCGGCGGCGGAGGCGGCGGCGCCGCCGGCGGGGCGGACGCCCCCGCCGUGGACAUCAGCCUCGGCAGGCUCAUCCUCGCCGGCAUGGUCGCCGGCGGCGUGCAGUACGGAUGGGCGCUCCAGCUCUCCCUGCUCACCCCCUACGUCCAGACUCUGGGACUUUCGCAUGCUCUGACUUCAUUCAUGUGGCUCUGCGGCCCUAUUGCUGGAUUAGUGGUUCAACCAUGCGUUGGGCUCUACAGUGACAAGUGCACUUCUAGAUGGGGAAGACGCAGACCGUUUAUUCUGACAGGAUGUAUCCUCAUCUGCAUUGCUGUCGUAGUCGUCGGCUUCUCGGCUGACAUUGGAGCUGCUCUGGGUGACAGCAAGGAAGAGUGCAGUCUCUAUCAUGGGCCUCGUUGGCACGCUGCAAUUGUGUAUGUUCUUGGAUUCUGGCUCCUUGACUUCUCCAACAACACUGUGCAAGGUCCAGCGCGUGCUCUGAUGGCUGAUUUAUCAGCUCAACAUGGACCCAGUGCAGCAAAUUCAAUCUUCUGUUCUUGGAUGGCACUAGGAAAUAUCCUUGGAUACUCCUCUGGUUCCACAAAUAACUGGCACAAGUGGUUUCCGUUCCUCCGGACAAGGGCUUGCUGUGAAGCCUGCGCAAAUCUGAAAGGCGCAUUUCUGGUGGCAGUGCUGUUCCUGGCCUUCUGUUUGGUGAUAACUGUGAUCUUCGCCAAGGAGAUACCGUACAAGGCGAUCGCGCCCCUCCCAACAAAGGCCAAUGGCCAGGUUGAAGUCGAGCCCACUGGGCCGCUCGCCGUGUUCAAAGGCUUCAAGAACUUGCCUCCUGGAAUGCCAUCAGUGCUCCUCGUCACUGGCCUCACCUGGCUGUCCUGGUUCCCCUUCAUCCUCUACGACACCGACUGGAUGGGUCGUGAGAUCUACCACGGUGACCCCAAGGGAACCCCCGACGAGGCCAACGCGUUCCAGGCAGGUGUCAGGGCCGGGGCGUUCGGCCUGCUACUCAACUCGGUCGUCCUGGGGUUCAGCUCCUUCCUGAUCGAGCCGCUGUGCAAGAGGCUAGGCCCGCGGGUGGUGUGGGUGUCGAGCAACUUCCUCGUCUGCCUCUCCAUGGCGGCCAUUUGCAUCAUAAGCUGGUGGGCUACUCAGGACAUGCAUGGGUACAUCCAGCACGCCAUCACCGCCAGCAAGGAGAUCAAGAUCGUCUCCCUCGCCCUCUUCGCCUUCCUCGGAGUCCCUCUCGCCAUUCUGUACAGUGUCCCUUUCGCGGUGACGGCGCAGCUGGCGGCGAACAGAGGCGGUGGCCAAGGGCUGUGCACGGGCGUGCUGAACAUCGCCAUCGUGAUACCCCAGGUGAUCAUCGCGGUGGGGGCGGGGCCGUGGGACGAGCUGUUCGGCAAGGGCAACAUCCCGGCGUUCGGCAUGGCGUCCGCCUUCGCGCUCAUCGGCGGCAUCGUCGGCAUAUUCCUGCUGCCCAAGAUCUCCAGGCGCCAGUUCCGGGCCGUCAGCGGCGGCGGUCACUGA